GAUGAACGCUAGCGAUAGGCUUAACACAUGCAAGUCGAGGGGCAGCACAAGGUAGCUUGCUAUCUGGGUGGCGACCGGCGCACGGGUGCGUAACGCGUAUGCAACUUGCCCUAUACAGGAGGAUAACCCGUCGAAAGACGGACUAAUACUGCGUAUGCUCACAACUUGGCAUCAAGUGGUGAGGAAAGAAAUUCGGUAUAGGAUAGGCAUGCGUCCCAUUAGCUUGUUGGUGAGGUAACGGCUCACCAAGGCAACGAUGGGUAGGGGAACUGAGAGGUUUAUCCCCCACACUGGUACUGAGACACGGACCAGACUCCUACGGGAGGCAGCAGUGAGGAAUAUUGGUCAAUGGGCGCGAGCCUGAACCAGCCAAGUCGCGUGAAGGAUGACUGUCUUAGGGAUUGUAAACUUCUUUUAUACGGGAAUAACAAGAGUCACGGGUGACUCCCUGCAUGUACCGUAUGAAUAAGCAUCGGCUAACUCCGUG
RNAcentral lists this ribosomal RNA (487 nucleotides) under uncultured bacterium. Its description in RNAcentral is "partial 16S ribosomal RNA". It matches the Rfam family "Bacterial small subunit ribosomal RNA", at positions 28 to 507 of the family's 1533-position model. The record is from RNAcentral.